CGGCGUGCCUAAUACAUGCAAGUCGAACGAAACUUUCUUACACCGAAUGCUUGCGUUCACCGUAAGAAGUUGAGUGGCGGACGGGUGAGUAACACGUGGGUAACCUGCCUAAAAGAAGGGGAUAACACUUGGAAACAGGUGCUAAUACCGUAUAUCUCUAAGGAUCGCAUGAUCCUUAGAUGAAAGAUGGUUCUGCUAUCGCUUUUAGAUGGACCCGCGGCGUAUUAACUAGUUGGUGGGGUAACGGCCUACCAAGGUGAUGAUACGUAGCCGAACUGAGAGGUUGAUCGGCCACAUUGGGACUGAGACACGGCCCAAACUCCUACGGGAGGCAGCAGUAGGGAAUCUUCCACAAUGGACGCAAGUCUGAUGGAGCAACGCCGCGUGAGUGAAGAAGGUCUUCGGAUCGUAAAACCCUGUUGUUAGAGAAGAACACGAGUGAGAGUAACUGUUCAUUCGAUGACGGUAUCUAACCAGCAAGUCACGGCUAACUACGUGCCAGCAGCCGCGGUAAUACGUAGGUGGCAAGCGUUGUCCGGAUUUAUUGGGCGUAAAGGGAACGCAGGCGGUCUUUUAAGUCUGAUGUGAAAGCCUUCGGCUUAACCGGAGUAGUGCAUUGGAAACUGGAAGACUUGAGUGCAGAAGAGGAGAGUGGAACUCCAUGUGUAGCGGUGAAAUGCGUAGAUAUAUGGAAGAACACCAGUGGCGAAAGCGGCUCUCUGGUCUGUAACCGACGCUGAGGUUCGAAAGCGUGGGUAGCAAACAGGAUUAGAUACCCUGGUAGUCCACGCCGUAAACGAUGAAUGCUAGGUGUUGGAGGGUUUCCGCCCUUCAGUGCCGCAGCUAACGCAAUAAGCGUUCCGCCUGGGGGAGUACGAC
Molecule: ribosomal RNA, 879 nt
Filed under: uncultured bacterium
Lineage: Bacteria
Description: bacterial SSU rRNA
Rfam family: Bacterial small subunit ribosomal RNA
Source: RNAcentral